RNAcentral lists this unclassified non-coding RNA (253 nucleotides) under uncultured Cyclobacteriaceae bacterium. RNAcentral's name for it is "contains 16S-23S intergenic spacer region". It matches the Rfam family "Bacterial small subunit ribosomal RNA", at positions 524 to 776 of the family's 1533-position model. The record is from RNAcentral. Lineage: Bacteria; Pseudomonadati; Bacteroidota; Cytophagia; Cytophagales; Cyclobacteriaceae.
UACGUAGGUGGCAAGCGUUGUCCGGAUUUAUUGGGUUUAAAGGGUGCGUAGGCGGGUCUUUAAGUCAGUGGUGAAAGCCCAUAGCUCAACUAUGGAAUUGCCAUUGAUACUGGAGGUCUUGAAUUCAGUAGAGGUAGGCGGAAUUGAUGGUGUAGCGGUGAAAUGCAUAGAUACCAUCAGGAACACCGAUUGCGAAGGCAGCUUACUGGACUUGAAUUGACGCUGAGGCACGAAAGCGUGGGGAGCGAACAGG